CCUUUCGCUGUAUGGCGUGCUCGUUUGGGUUGGGCGUCGGCUAAGAGUGCUCGGAGCGUGGAUUAACUCCAGUCUCCUAUCAGGUGUGUAUUUCUCACUAUUCUAGCUGUAGGAUGGCUACUUCAGGCCGCGAUGGGCCGAAAGGGGCUAUGUGGGCCCAAUGGGCCUACGGGCCCAAUUGGAUAAGCUGUUUGAUUGUACAGUAAAUAUUGGACUAGGCUAGGUGAAUCUCAUAUUUGUGGCUAGAUUUGGGCUAAAAGGGCCACACGAGCGUGUGGGCCCAUAUGGGCUGAGAAUGGGGUUUAGGGCCAUUCAUAUUGUUAUCCCUGUUUAGAAUUCUUUAGUUUACCAAAUUACAGAAAUGCCCUCGACUUGUAAAAUUACGAAAGUACCCUCAAUUUAUAGAAUUAUCGUUUUACCCUCGAUUUACAGAAUUACCAUUUUACCCUCAAUUUAUAGAAUUACCAUUUUACCCUCGAUUUAUAGAAUUACCAUUUUACCCUCGAUUUAUAGAAUUACCGUUUUACCCUCGAUUUAUAGAAUUACCGUUUUACCUUCGAUUUACAGAUUUACCAUUUUACCCUCGAUUUAUUAUAUUACUAAAAUACCAUUGGUUUACAAAAUUACCAAAAUACCCCUGGUUUGUAAAAUUACUAAAAUACCCCUGGUUUGCAAAAUUACCAAAAUACCCCUGAUUUAUAAAAUAUCGAAAUACUCUCGAUUUGUAAAAUAUCAAAAUACCCAUGUAGGGUUGAAUUAUCGAAAUAACCCUGUAGGGUAUAAUUACCGAAAUACCCCUGUAGGGUAGAAUUACUGAAAUAACCCUAUAGGGUAGAAUUACUGAAAUACCCCUAUAGGGUAAAAUUACUUAAAUACCCCUGUAGGAAAAAAUUACCGAAAUACCUUUGUAGGGCAGAAAUACUGAAAUACCCCUGUAGGAUAGAAUUACCGAGAUACCCUUGUAGGGUAAAAUUACCAUUUUGCCCCUAGGGUGUUAAAUGAUUGUUUUGCCCUUGUGGGCAAGUGACUGACUUGGACUGUGUGGUUGACGGAUUUGAUUGUGAAUAUAUGUUGGUGAUAUGAAUGACUUGACUGUGAUUGUUUGAUUCAAAUAUGGGCAUGACAUUCUGCAUACAUGACAUGUUGCAUGGGUUGGGUUUUAUAAAUGGAGGAAGUGCUAGAAGGGCAAUGCCCCAGUUUACCGAAAAGGGCUUUGCCCCAGUUUAUCCAAAAGGGCUUUGCCCCAGUUAUUAAAAGAGGCUAGGCCUCCAGUUAUAUGAUAAAGCAGCUAUGCUACCAGUGGAGAGUUUGGUUGGGUGGGUUGAGUUAUUCCCCACAUGGAGAGCUUGGUUGGUACGGGUGGAGAGUAGCGGAUGGUGGGUUCAGUAGUCUCCCCAAAUGGGCUUGCAUACAUCCAUUGGUAUUACAUGUGAUAUUGAAAUGGGCCUAUGGGCCAUACCGCUUACAGUAAAGGAAUCGGCCAAUGAUAUGAUUUAUGAAAAGGCUUCGGCCCAGUGAUAUGAUUUAUGAAAAGGCUUCGGCCCAGUAUAUGUCGAGACUGAAUUAGGGCUUAGGUCCAUAUUGCUACUGUUUAAAGGCUAAGGCCCAGACUGUACUGUUACUGAAUAGGGCUUUGGCCCAGAUUGUACUGACACUGUGUUAUUCAUUGUUUGUUUGUUGUUGGGGUUACACACUGAGUUUUCGUAAACUCACCCCAUUUCUAAGUGUGUAGGUAAUCCCUAAGCUUAGAUGGUUUGGAGCUGCGAGGGACUCGGAGAUGGCCACAAUACUGUUUCUGUUUCUUUUAAUUGCACUAAGUAACCGGUUUAUUUUUUUUGUAAGUUUUAUCUUAAUUAAUAUUAUUAUUUGGUUUUGGGUUGUAAUAAGGCCAUUUUAAUUAUUUUUCUGGGAUUAUUUUAUUUUAUACCCUAUAUUUUACUGAUAACAAUCCAAAAUGAAUUAGACUUAGGGCGUAUUUCCAAAAUGAUAAUUGUUUUCAAAAUAACGCAACGAUACAAUUAAUCGGUUUAUCAAAAAUAUCUACUUAAAUGAAUUCCAACUUAUUUUUCUCAAAACCUAACCUCGCACCAAAGUGUGGCAAUGGUUGUGGGCAUGUCUAGGAUUGGAUCCAAUCAAGAGCUUGGUACUUAAGCAGCCUUCAUGGCUCACCUCCUCUGUUACGGAUUCUUACCUGGUGCCCAGCUUCCAUUCACUUGGUUAAGCUGAACAAAAGUUGGUUUUAAAACGCUAAAACGAAACGUGGAUUUUUAACUUCAAUAUGGCACGUCAGAUUCGGCCGUAACGUUUGGGCCAGGUUUGGGGUGUUACAUUUAGUGGUAUCAGAGCCAAGUUACAAAACUCGGUUGUGGUAUGGGUAACAGAAAAUUAUUGUUAUUUUUUUUCUUUUUUUGAAAUUGGGUUUUUUUUGAAAUUUUAUUUUAAAAUUUAUCAACAAAACUUGACUUGUUUCUGAAAAGAUGUUAUUGGAAGUGUGGCACACCGAGUCUCCAGCACCAAAUCUGUAAGUUCUCUAACUCUGUUUACUGUUAUAGAUUAAAAUGAUAUAUUGAGAAACCACUAUAGAUAGUAGCACAAUACUGGAACUCUCUAGUUAGAGUAAACUGUAACGCUUGAAUUUAGAUUUAGUAUUUAUUUGGUGUGCAUUCUGGAAAUGUAGAAAUUGUUUGCAUGUGAAAUCUAUCCGCUCCGAUGGAUAAAUUUUUUGGGUGUAUGUUACUAUUAUUAGUAUCAUAGUGCGCAGCAAAAGUGUGGUGCUGUAGUCUGAGAGUGGAAAAUUUCGAGGACAAAAUUUCUUUAAGGGGGUAGAAUUGUAACACAUCGAAUUUGGGCCUAGAAGUAUUGGGCCUUGAGUGUGGGUCCAUAAGGAGGUUGUAUACAGGUAUUUAAUUGUGCAAUGAAAUGACACAAUUAAAUGUCUGCUUUGGUGGUUAAUGGCCCUGAGAAGUGUUAGAGAAAUCUUGGGUUCAAACUUGGGCUUUAGCAAAAAUUUUGGUAUUAAGAGAAAAAAACCUGGAUGCUUGGAUGAGGGCUUUUAAAUUAUUGCGUUAAAUAAAUGACACAGGGAAUCUUGUAGUCUAGUGGUUGUGGCGUCAUUAAGGUUGUAUGGGAGCCUGGGUUCAAGCCUUGGCUCUUGCAAUUUAUUUUGGUUUUUUUAAGGGAACUUAGACUUUGGCCUUUAGACCUUAUAAUUAAUUGGGGAUAAAAUAUGACACAAAAAGCCUUGUGGCUUAGUGGCAAGUAGCGUGUGGAGCAUCUGAGGGGAGGCAUGGGUUCGAAUCCCAUGGCAAGCAAAGAGCAUUUAUUUUGCUAGCAGGGGUGGCAAGAGUUGGUGUUGAAUUUAAACUCUGAUGUUGGAGGGAUCCCACAUCGGGAAGCUAACAUAAGAGUGGAUGCAAAGCUGGCUUUAAAUAGAGGGAACCAUUAGGAGAGUAAAGGUACCUUUCUUGGCUAAUCCCUUUCGCUGUAUGGCUUGCUCGUUUGGGUUGGGCGUCGGCUAAGAGUGCUCGGAGCGUGGAUUAACUCCAGUCUCCUAUCAGGUGUGUAUUUCUCACUACUCUAGCUGUAGGAUGGCUACUUCCGGCCGCGAUGGGCCGAAAGGGGCUAUAUGGGCCUACGGGCCCAAUUGGAUAAGCUGUUUGAUUGUAUAGUAAAUAUUGGACUAGGCUAGGUGAAUCUCAUAUUUGUGGCUAGAUUUGGGCAAAAAGGGCCACACGAGCGUGUGGGCCCAUUUGGGCUGAGAAUGGGCAUUAGGGCCAUUCGUAUUGUUAUCUCUGUUUAGAAUACUUUAGUUUACCAAAUUACAGAAAUGCCCUCGACUUGUAAAAUUACGAAAGUACCCUCAAUUUAUAGAAUUAUUGUUUUACCCUUGAUUUAUAGAAUUACCAUUUUACCCUUGAUUUAUAGAAUUACUGUUUUACCCUCGAUUUACAGAAUUACCAUUUUACCCUCGAUUUAUAGAAUUACCAUUUUACCCUCGAUUUAUAGAAUUACCGUUUUACCCUUGAUUUAUAGAAUUACCGUUUUACCUUCGAUUUAUAGAAUUACCAUUUUACCCUCGAUUUAUAAUAUUACUAAAAUACCAUUGGUUUACAAAAUUACCAAAAUACCCUCGAUCAGUAAAUUACCAAAAUACCCCUAGUUUGUAAAAUUACUAAAAUACCCUUGGUUUGUAAAAUUACCAAAAUACCCCUGGCUUGCAAAAUUACCAAAAUACCCCUGAUUUAUAAAAUUAUCGAAAUACUCUCGAUUUGUAAAAUAUCAAAAUACCCCUGUAGGGUAGAAUUAUCAAAAUACCCCUGUAGGGUAUCAUUACCGAAAUACCCCUGUAGGGUAGAAUUACUGAAAUAACCCUAUAGGGUAGAAUUACUGAAAUACCCCUAUGGGGUAAAAUUACUGAAAUACCCCUGUAGGGAAAAAUUACCGAAAUACCUUUGUAGGGUAGAAAUACUGAAAUACCCCUAUAGGGUAGAAUUACCGAGAUACCCUUGUGGGGUGAAAUUACCAUUUUGCCCCUAGGAUGUUAAAUGACUGUUUUGCCCUUGUGGGCAAGUGACUGACUUGGAUUGUGUGGUUGACGGAUUUGAUUGUGAAUAUAUGUUGGUGAUAUGAAUGACUUGACUGUGAUUGUUUGAUUCAAAUAUGGGCAUGACAUUCUGCAUACAUGACAUGUUGCAUGGGUUGGGUUUUAUAAAUGGAGGAAGUGCUAAAGGGCAAUGCCCCAGUUUACCGAAAAGGGCUUUGCCCCAGUUUAUCAAAAAGGGCUUUGCCCCAGUUACUAAAAGAGGCUAGGCCUCCAGUUAUAUGAUAAAGCAGCUAUGCUACCGGUGGAGAGUUUGGUUGGGUGGGUUGAGUUAUUCCCCACAUGGAGAGCUUGGUUGGUACGGGUGGAGAGUAGCAGAUGGUGGGUUCAGUAGUCUCCCCAAAUGGGCUUGCAUACAUCCAUUGGUAUUACAUGUGAUAUUGAAAUGGGCCUAUGAGCCAUACCGCUUACAGUAAAGGCAUCGGCCAAUGAUAUGAUUUAUGAAAAGGCUUCGGCCCAGUGAUAUGAUUUAUGAAAAGGCUUCGGCCCAGUAUAUGUCGAGACUGAAUUAGGGCUUAGGUCCAUAUUGCUACUGUUUAAAGGCUAAGGCCCAGACUGUACUGUUACUGAAUAGGGCUUUGGCCCAGAUUGUACUGACACUGUGUUAUUCAUUGUUUGUUUGUUGUUGGGGUUACACACUGAGUUUUCGUAAACUCACCCCAUUUCUAAGUGUGUAGGUAAUCCCUAAGCUUAGAUGGUUUGGAGCUGCGAGGGACUCGGAGAUGGCCACAAUACUGUUUCUGUUUCUUUUAAUUGCAGUAAGUAAUCGGUUUAUUUUUUUUGUAAGUUUUAUCUUAAUUAAUAUUAUUAUUUGGUUUUGGGUUGUAAUAAGGCCAUUUUAAUUAUUUUUCUGGGAUUAUUUUAUUUUAUACCCUAUAUUUUACUGAUAACAAUCCAAAAUGAAUUAGACUUAGGGCGUAUUUCCAAAAUGAUAAUUGUUUUCAAAAUAACGCAACGAUACAAUUAAUCGGUUUAUCAAAAAUAUCUACUUAAAUGAAUUCCAACUUAUUUUUCUCAAAACCUAACCUCGCACCAAAGUGUGGCAAUGGUUGUGGGCAUGUCUAGGAUUGGAUCCAAUCAAGAGCUUGGUACUUAAGCAGCCUUCAUGGCUCACCUCCUCUGUUACGGAUUCUUACCUGGUGCCCAGCUUCCAUUCACUUGGUUAAGCUGAACAAAAGUUGGUUUUAAAAUGCUAAAACAAAACGUGGAUUUUUAACUUCAAUAUGGCACGUCAGAUUCGGCCGUAACGUUUGGGCCAGUUUUGGGGUGUUACAUUUAGUGGUAUCAGAGCCAAGUUACAAAACUCGGCUGUGGUAUGGGUAACAGAAAAUUAUUGUUAUUUUUUUUCCUUUUUUUGAAAUUGGGUUUUUUUUAAAUUUUGUUUUAAAAUUUAUCAACAAAACUUGACUUGUUUCUGAAAAGAUGUUAUUGGAAGUGUGGUACACCGAAUCUCCAGCACAAAAUCUGUAAGUUCUCUAACUCUGUUUACUGUUAUAGAUUGAAAUGAUAUAUUGAGAAACCACUAUAUAUAGUAGCACAAUACUGGAACUCUCUAGUUAGAGUAAACUGUAACGCUUGAAUUUAGAUUUAGUAUUUAUUUGGUGUGCGUUCUGGAAAUGUAGAAAUUGUUUGCAUGUGAAAUAUAUCCGCUCCGAUGGAUAAAUGUUUUGGGUGUAUGUUACUAUUAUUAGUAUCAGAGUGCGCAGCGAAAGUGUGGUGGUGUAGUCUGAGAGUGGAAAAUUUCGAAGACAAAAUUUCUUUAAGGGGGUAGAAUUGUAACACAUCGAAUUUGGGCCUAGAAGUAUUGGGCCUUGAGUGUGGGUCCAUAAGGAGGUUGUAUACAGGUAUUUAAUUGUGCAAUGAAAUGACACAAUUAAAUGUCUGCUUUGGUGGUUAAUGGCCCUGAGAAGUGUUAGAGAAAUCUUGGGUUCAAACUUGGGCUUUAGCAAAAAUUUUGGUAUUAAGAGAAAAAAACCUGGAUGCUUGGAUGAGGGCUUUUAAAUUAUUGCGUUAAAUAAAUGACACAGGGAAUCUUGUAGUCUAGUGGUUGUGGCGUCAUUAAGGUUGUAUGGGAGCCUGGGUUCAAGCCUUGGCUCUUGCAAUUUAUUUUGGUUUUUUUAAGGGAACUUAGACUUUGGCCUUUAGACCUUAUAAUUAAUUGGGGAUAAAAUAUGACACAAAAAGCCUUGUGGCUUAGUGGCAAGUAGCGUGUGGAGCAUCUGAGGGGAGGCAUGGGUUCGAAUCCCAUGGCAAGCAAAGAGCAUUUAUUUUGCUAGCAGGGGUGGCAAGAGUUGGUGUUGAAUUUAAACUCUGAUGUUGGAGGGAUCCCACAUCGGGAAGCUAACAUAAGAGUGGAUGCAAAGCUGGCUUUAAAUAGAGGGAACCAUUAGGAGAGUAAAGGUACCUUUCUUGGCUAAUCCCUUUCGCUGUAUGGCUUGCUCGUUUGGGUUGGGCGUCGGCUAAGAGUGCUCGGAGCGUGGAUUAACUCCAGUCUCCUAUCAGGUGUGUAUUUCUCACUACUCUAGCUGUAGGAUGGCUACUUCCGGCCGCGAUGGGCCGAAAGGGGCUAUAUGGGCCUACGGGCCCAAUUGGAUAAGCUGUUUGAUUGUAUAGUAAAUAUUGGACUAGGCUAGGUGAAUCUCAUAUUUGUGGCUAGAUUUGGGCAAAAAGGGCCACACGAGCGUGUGGGCCCAUUUGGGCUGAGAAUGGGCAUUAGGGCCAUUCGUAUUGUUAUCUCUGUUUAGAAUACUUUAGUUUACCAAAUUAUAGAAAUGCCCUCGACUUGUAAAAUUACGAAAGUACCCUCAAUUUAUAGAAUUAUUGUUUUACCCUUGAUUUAUAGAAUUACCAUUUUACCCUUGAUUUAUAGAAUUACUGUUUUACCCUCGAUUUACAGAAUUACCAUUUUACCCUCGAUUUAUAGAAUUACCAUUUUACCCUCGAUUUAUAGAAUUACCGUUUUACCCUUGAUUUAUAGAAUUACUGUUUUACCUUCGAUUUAUAGAAUUACCAUUUUACCCUCGAUUUAUAAUAUUACUAAAAUACCAUUGGUUUACAAAAUUACCAAAAUACCCUCGAUCAGUAAAUUACCAAAAUACCCCUAGUUUGUAAAAUUACUAAAAUACCCUUGGUUUGUAAAAUUACCAAAAUACCCCUGGCUUGCAAAAUUACCAAAAUACCCCUGAUUUAUAAAAUUAUCGAAAUACUCUCGAUUUGUAAAAUAUCAAAAUACCCCUGUAGGGUAGAAUUAUCGAAAUACCCCUGUAGGGUAUCAUUACCGAAAUACCCCUGUAGGGUAGAAUUACUGAAAUAACCCUAUAGGGUAGAAUUACUGAAAUACCCCUAUGGGGUAAAAUUACUGAAAUACCCCUGUAGGGAAAAAUUACCGAAAUACCUUUGUAGGGUAGAAAUACUGAAAUACCCCUAUAGGGUAGAAUUACCGAGAUACCCUUGUGGGGUGAAAUUACCAUUUUGCCCCUAGGAUGUUAAAUGACUGUUUUGCCCUUGUGGGCAAGUGACUGACUUGGAUUGUGUGGUUGACGGAUUUGAUUGUGAAUAUAUGUUGGUGAUAUGAAUGACUUGACUGUGAUUGUUUGAUUCAAAUAUGGGCAUGACAUUCUGCAUACAUGACAUGUUGCAUGGGUUGGGUUUUAUAAAUGGAGGAAGUGCUAAAGGGCAAUGCCCCAGUUUACCGAAAAGGGCUUUGCCCCAGUUUAUCAAAAAGGGCUUUGCCCCAGUUACUAAAAGAGGCUAGGCCUCCAGUUAUAUGAUAAAGCAGCUAUGCUACCGGUGGAGAGUUUGGUUGGGUGGGUUGAGUUAUUCCCCACAUGGAGAGCUUGGUUGGUACGGGUGGAGAGUAGCAGAUGGUGGGUUCAGUAGUCUCCCCAAAUGGGCUUGCAUACAUCCAUUGGUAUUACAUGUGAUAUUGAAAUGGGCCUAUGGGCCAUACCGCUUACAGUAAAGGCAUCGGCCAAUGAUAUGAUUUAUGAAAAGGCAUCGGCCCAGUGAUAUGAUUUAUGAAAAGGCUUCGGCCCAGUAUAUGUCGAGACUGAAUUAGGGCUUAGGUCCAUAUUGCUACUGUUUAAAGGCUAAGGCCCAGACUGUACUGUUACUGAAUAGGGCUUUGGCCCAGAUUGUACUGACACUGUGUUAUUCAUUGUUUGUUUGUUGUUGGGGUUACACACUGAGUUUUCGUAAACUCACCCCAUUUCUAAGUGUGUAGGUAAUCCCUAAGCUUAGAUGGUUUGGAGCUGCGAGGGACUCGGAGAUGGCCACAAUACUGUUUCUGUUUCUUUUAAUUGCAGUAAGUAACCGGUUUAUUUUUUUUGUAAGUUUUAUCUUAAUUAAUAUUAUUAUUUGGUUUUGGGUUGUAAUAAGGCCAUUUUAAUUAUUUUUCUGGGAUUAUUUUAUUUUAUACCCUAUAUUUUACUGAUAACAAUCCAAAAUGAAUUAGACUUAGGGCGUAUUUCCAAAAUGAUAAUUGUUUUCAAAAUAACGCAACGAUACAAUUAAUCGGUUUAUCAAAAAUAUCUACUUAAAUGAAUUCCAACUUAUUUUUCUCAAAACCUAACCUCGCACCAAAGUGUGGCAAUGGUUGUGGGCAUGUCUGGGAUUGGAUCCAAUCAAGAGCUUGGUACUUAAGCAGCCUUCAUGGCUCACCUCCUCUGUUACGGAUUCUUACCUGGUGCCCAGCUUCCAUUCACUUGGUUAAGCUGAACAAAAGUUGGUUUUAAAAUGCUAAAACAAAACGUGGAUUUUUAACUUCAAUAUGGCACGUCAGAUUCGGCCGUAACGUUUGGGCCAGUUUUGGGGUGUUACAUUUAGUGGUAUCAGAGCCAAGUUACAAAACUCGGCUGUGGUAUGGGUAACAGAAAAUUAUUGUUAUUUUUUUUCCUUUUUUUGAAAUUGGGUUUUUUUUAAAUUUUGUUUUAAAAUUUAUCAACAAAACUUGACUUGUUUCUGAAAAGAUGUUAUUGGAAGUGUGGUACACCGAAUCUCCAGCACAAAAUCUGUAAGUUCUCUAACUCUGUUUACUGUUAUAGAUUGAAAUGAUAUAUUGAGAAACCACUAUAUAUAGUAGCACAAUACUGGAACUCUCUAGUUAGAGUAAACUGUAACGCUUGAAUUUAGAUUUAGUAUUUAUUUGGUGUGCGUUCUGGAAAUGUAGAAAUUGUUUGCAUGUGAAAUAUAUCCGCUCCGAUGGAUAAAUGUUUUGGGUGUAUGUUACUAUUAUUAGUAUCAGAGUGCGCAGCGAAAGUGUGGUGGUGUAGUCUGAGAGUGGAAAAUUUCGAAGACAAAAUUUCUUUAACGGGGUAGAAUUGUAACACCUCGAAUUUGGGCCUAGAAGUAUUGGGCCUUGAGUGUGGGUCCAUAAGGAGGUUGUAUACAGGUAUUUAAUUGUGCAAUGAAAUGACACAAUUAAAUGUCUGCUUUGGUGGUUAAUGGCCCUGAGAAGUGUUAGAGAAAUCUUGGGUUCAAACUUGGGCUUUAGCAAAAAUUUUAGUAUUAAGAGAAAAAAACCUGGAUGCUUGGAUGAGGGCUUUUAAAUUAUUGCGUUAAAGAAAUGACAGAGGGAAGCUUGUAGUCUAGUGGUUGUGGCGUCAUUAAGGUUGUAUGGGAGCCUGGGUUCAAGCCUUGGCUCUUGCAAUUUAUUUUGGUUUUUUUAAGGGAACCUGGACUUUGGCCUUUAGACCUUAUAACUAAUUGGGGAUAAAAUAUGACACAAAAAGCCUUGUGGCUUAGUGGCAAGUAGUGUGUGUAGCAUCUGAGGGGAGGCAUGGUUCGAAUCCUAUGGCAAGCAAAGAGCAUUUAUUUUGCUAACAUGGGGCGGCAAGAGUUGGUGUUGAAUUUAAACUCUGAUGUUGGAGGGAUCCCACAUCGGGAAGCUAACAUAAGAGUGGAUGCAAAGCUGGCUUUAAAUAAAAGGAACAAUGGGGAGAGUAAAGGAACCUUUCUUGGCUGAUCCCUUUUGCUGUAUGGCGUGCUCGUUUGGGUUGGGCGUCGGCUAAGAGUGCUCGGAGCGUGGAUUAACUCCAGUCUCCUAUUAGGUGUGUAUUUCUCACUACUCUAGCUGUAGGAUGGCUACUUCCGGCCGCGAUGGACCAAAAGGGGCUAUGUGGGCCAAUGGGCCUACGGGCCAAAUUGGAUAAGUUGUUUGAUUGUGUAGUAAAUAUUGGACUAGGCUAGGUGAAUCUCAUAUUUGUGGCUAGAUUUGGGCUAAAAGGGCCACACGAGCGUAUGGGCCCAUUUGGCUGAGAAUGGGCUUUAAGGCUAUUCGUAUUGUUAUCCCUAUUUAGAAUACUUUAGUUUACCAAAUUAUAGAAAUGCCCUCGACUUGUAAGAUUACCAAAGUACCUUCGAUUUAUAGAAUUACUGUUUUACCCUUGAUUUAUAGAAUUACCAUUUUACCCUCGAUUUAUGGAAUUACCAUUUUACCUUCGAUUUACAGAAUUACCAUUUUACCCUCGAUUUAUAGAAUUACCAUUUUACCCUCGAUUUAUAGAAUUACCCUUUUACCCUCGAUUUAUAGAAUUACCAUUUUACCCUCAAUUUAUAGAAUUACCGUUUUACCUUCAAUUUACAGAAUUACCAUUUUAGCCUCGAUUUAUAAAAUUACUAAAAUACCAUUGGUUUACAAAAUUACCAAAAUACCUUCGAUCAGUAAAUUACCAAAACCCUUGGUUUGUAAAAUUACUAAAAUACCCCUGGUUUGUAAAAUUACCAAAAUACCCCUAGAUUGCAAAAUUACCAAAAUACCCCUGAUUUGUAAAAUUAUCGAAAUACUCUCGAUUUGUAAAAUAUCAAAAUACCCCUGUAGGGUAGAAUUAUCGAAAUACCCCUAUUUGGUAUAAUUACCGAAAUAUCCCUAUAGGGUAGAAUUAUUGAAAUAACCCUGUAGGGUAGAAUUACCGAAAUACCCCUAUAGGGUAAAAUUAUUGAAAUACCCCUGUAGGGUAGAAUUACCAAAAUACCCUUGUCGGGUAGAAAUAUUGAAUACCCCUAUAGGGUAUAAUUACCGAGAUACCCUUGUGGGGUAAAAUUACCAUUUUGCCCCUAGGGUGUUAAAUGACUGUUUUGCCCUUGUGGGCAAGUGACUGACUUGGACUGUGUGGUUGACGAAUUUGAUUGUGAAUAUUGUUAGUGAUAUGAAUGACUUGACUGUGAUUGUUUUACUCAAAUAUGGGCAUGACAUUCUGUAUACAUGACAUGUUGUAUGGGUUGGGUUUUAUAAAUUGAGGAAGUACUAAAAGGGCAAUGCCCCAGUUUAACGAAAAGGGCUUUGCCCCAGUUUACCGAAAAGGGCUUUGCCCCAGUUAUAUGAUAAAGCAGCUAUGCUGCCAGUGGAGAGUUUGGUUGGGUGGGUUGAGUUAUUCCCUACAUGGAGAGCUUGGUUGGUACGGGUCGAGAGUAGCGGAUGGUGGGUUGUGUAGUCUCCCCAAAUGGGCUUGCAUACAUCCGUUGGUAUUACAUGUGAUAUUGAAAUGGGCCUAUGGGCAUACCGCUUACAGUAAAGGCAUUGGCCAGUGAUAUGAUUUAUGAAAAGGCUUCGGCCUAGUAUAUGUCGAGACUGAAUUAGGGCUUAGGCCCAUAUUGCUACUGUUUAAAGGCUAAGGCCCAGACUGUACUGUUACUGAAUAAGGCUUUGGCCCAGAUUGUACUAACACUGUGUUAUUCAAUGUUUGUUUAUUGUUGGGGAUUACACACUGAGUUUUCGUCAACUCACCCCGUUUCUAAGUGUGCAGGUAAUCCAUAAGCUUAGAUGGUUUGGAGCUGCGAGGGACUCGGAGAUGGCCACACUACUAAAUUGCAGUAAGUAACCAGUUUAUUUUAUUUUAUUAUAAGUUUUAUCUUAAUUAAUAUUAUUAUUUGGUUUUGGGUUGUAAUAAGGCCAUUUUAAUUAUUUUUCUGGGAUUAUUUUAUUUUAUACCCUAUAUUUUACUGAUAACAAUCCAAAAUGGGUUAAACUUAGGGUGCGUUUCCUAAAUGAUAAUUGUUUUCAAAAUAACACAAUGAUAGAAUUAAUCGGUUUAUCAAAAAUAUCUACUUAAAUGAAUUCCAACUCGUUUUUCUCAAAACCUAACCUCGCACCAAAGUGUGGCAAUGGUUGUGGGCAUGUCUAGGAUUGGAUCCAAUCAAGAGCUAGGUACUUAAGCAGCUUUAAUGCCUCACCUCCUCUGUUACGGAUUUUUACCUAGUGCCCAGCUUUCAUUCACUUGGUUAAGCUUAACAAAAGUUGGUUUUAAAACGCUAAAACGAAACGUGGAUUUUUUUCUUUUUUCGAAAUUGGGGUUUUUUUUAAAUUUUGUUUUGAAAUUUAUCAAUGAAACUUGACUUGUUUCUGAAAAGAUGUUAUUGGAAGUGUGGCACACCGAGUCUCCAGCACCAAAUCUGUAAGUUCUCUAACUCUGUUUACUGUUAUAGAUUGGAAUGCUAUAUUGAGAAACUACUAUAGAUAGUAGCACAAUACUGGAACUCUCUAGUUAGAGUAAACUAUAACGCUUGAAUUUAGAUUUAGUAUUUAUUUGGUGUGCGUUCUGGAAAUGUAGAAAUUGUUUGCAUGUGAAAUCUAUCCGCUCCAAUGGAUAAAUGUUUUGGGUGUAUGUUAGUAUUAUUAGUAUCAGAGUGCGUAGCGAAAGUGUUGUGGUCUAGUCUGAGAGUGGAAAAUUUCGAGGAUGAAAUUUCUUUAAGGGGGUAGAAUUGUAACACCCUAAAUUUGGGCCUAGAAGUAUUGGGCCUUGAGUGUGGGUCCAUAAGGAGGUUGUAUAUAGGUAUUUAAUUGUGCAAUGAAAUGACACAAUUAAAUGUCUACUUUGGUGGUAAAUGGCCCUCAGAAGUGUUAGAGAAAUCUUGGGUUCAAACUUGGGCUUUAGCAAAAAUUUUUGUAUUAAGAGAAAAAAACCUGGAUGCUUGGAUGAGGGCUUUUAAAUUAUUAUGUUAAAUAAAUGCACAAGGAAGCUUGUAGUCCAGUGGUUGUGGCGUCAUUAAGGUUGUAUGGGAGCCUGGGUUCAAGCCUUGGUUCUUGCAAUUUAUUUUGGUUUUUUUUAGGGAACCUGGACUUUAGCCUUUAGACCUUAUAAUUAAUUGGGGAUAAAAUAUGACACAAAAAAGCCUUGUGGCUUAGUGGCAAGUAGCGUGUGGAGCAUCUGAGUGGAGGCAUGGGUUCGAAUCCCAUGGCAAGCAAAGAGCAUUUAUUUUGCUAAUAGGGGGCGGCAAGAGUUGGUGUUGAAUUUAAACUCUGAUGUUGGAGGGAUCCCACAUCGUGAAGCUAACAUAAGAGUGGAUGCAAAGCUAGUUUUAAAUAGAGGGAACUAUGAGGAGAGUAAAGGUACAUUUCUUGGCUGAUCUCUUUCGCUGUAUGUCGUGCUCGUUUGGGUUGGGCGUCGGCUAAGAGUGCUUGGAGCGUGGAUUAACUCCAGUCUCCUAUCAGGUGUGUAUUUCUCACUACUCUAGCUGUAGGAUGGCUACUUCGGGCAGCGAUGGGUCGAAAGGGGCUAUGUGGGCCCAAUGGGCCUACGGGUCAAAUUGGAUAAGUUGUUUGAUUGUGUAGUAAAUAUUGGACUAGGCUAGGUGAAUCUCAUAUUUGUGGCUAGAUUUGGGCUAAAGGGGCCACACGAGCGUGUGGGCCCAUUUGGGUUGAGAAUGGGCUUUAGGGCCAUUCGUACUAUUAUCCCUGUAGAAUACUUUAGUUUACCAAAUUACAGAAAUGCCCUCGACUUGUAAAAUUACCAAAGUACCCUCGAUUUAUAGAAUUACUGUUUUACCCUUGAUUUAUAGAAUUACCAUUUUACCCUAGAUUUAUAGAAUUACCGUUUUACCCUCAAUUACAGAAUUAUCAUUUUACCCUUGAUUUACAGAAUUACCGUUUUACCCUCGAUUUAUAGAAUUACCAUUUUACUCUCGAUUUAUAGAAUUACCGUUUUACCCUCGAUUUAUAGAAUUACCAUUUUACCUUCGAUUUACAGAAUUACUGUUUUACCCUCAAUUUAUAAAAUUACUAAAAUACCAUUAGUUUACAAAAUUACCAAAAUACCCUCGAUCAGUAAAUUACCAAAAUAACCCUGGUUUGUAAAAUUACUACAAUACCCUUGGUUUGUAAAAUUACCAAAAUACCCCUGAUUUGUGAAAUUAUCGAAAUACUAUCGAUUUGUAAAAUAUUGAAAUACCCUUGUAGGGUAGAAUUACUGAAAUAACCCUAUAGGGUAGAAUUACCGAGAUACCCCUAUAGGGUAAAAUUACUGAAAUACCCCUACAGGGUAGAAUUACCAAAAUACCCUUGUAGGGUAGAAAUACUAAAAUACCCCUGUAGGGUAGAAUUACCGAGAUACCCUUGUGGGGUAAAAUUACCAUUUUGCCCCUAGGGUGUUAAAUGACUGUUUUGCCCUUGUGGGCAAGUGACUGACUUGGACUGUGUGGUUGACGGAUUUGAUUGUGAAUAUAUGUUGGUGAUAUGAAUGACUUGACUGUGAUUGUUUGAUUCAAAUAUGUGCAUGACAUUCUGCAUACAUGACAUGUUGCAUGGGUUGGGUUUUAUAAAUGGAGGAAGUGCUAAAAGGGCAAUGCCCCAGUUUAACGAAAAAGGCUUUGCCCUAGUUUACCGAAAAGGGCUUUGCCCCAGUUUAUAAAAAAGGGCUUUGCCCCAGUUUUUAAAAGAGGCUAGGCUUCUAGUUAUAUGAUAAAGCAGCUAUGCUACCAGUGGAGAGUUUGGUUGGGUGGGUUGAGUUAUUCCCCACAUGGAGAGCUUGUUUGGUACGGGUGGAGAGUAGCAGAUGGUGGGUUGAGUAGUCUCCCCAGAUGGGCUUGCAUACAUCCAUUGGUAUUACAUGUGAUAUUGAAAUGGGCCUAUGGGCCAUACCGCUUACAGUAAAGGCAUCGGCCAGUGGUAUGAUUUAUGAAAAGGCUUCGGCCAGUGAUAUGAUUUAUGAAAAGGCUUCGGCCCAGUAUAUGUCGAGACUAAAUUAGGGCUUAGGCCCAUAUUGCUACUAUUUAAAGGCUAAGGCCCAAACUGUACCGUUACUGAAUAGGGCUUUGGCCCAGAUUGUACUGACACUGUGUUAUUCACUGUUUGUUUGUUGUUGGGGAUUACACACUAAGUUUUCGUAAACUCACCCUGUUUCUAACUGUGCAGGUAAUCCCUAAGCUUAGAUGGUUUGGAGCUGCGAGGGACUCAGAGAUGGCCACACUACUGUUUCUCUUUCUUUUAAUUGUAGUAAGUAACCAGUUUAUUUUAUUUUAUUUUAUAAGUUUUAUCUUAAGUAAUAUUAUUAUUUGGUUUUGGGUUGUAAUAAGGCCAUUUUAAUUAUUUUUUUGGGAUUAUUUUAUUUUAUACCUUAUAUUUUACUGAUAAC
RNAcentral lists this long non-coding RNA (15945 nucleotides) under Gossypium barbadense (sea-island cotton). RNAcentral describes it as "long non-coding RNA (GBAR_LNC000781)". Lineage: Eukaryota; Viridiplantae; Streptophyta; Magnoliopsida; Malvales; Malvaceae. The record is from RNAcentral.